Molecule: long non-coding RNA, 122 nt
Organism: Haliaeetus leucocephalus (bald eagle)
Lineage: Eukaryota; Metazoa; Chordata; Aves; Accipitriformes; Accipitridae
Exons: 3
Source: RefSeq, a predicted model, not a curated record
CCAGUCAGCCGAGGGGUCCAGUCCUGGUGGGCUUGCGCACCCGGGGCUUCAGUUGGUGUCCUUUUAUCAUCCUUGCCCCUCCUUCAGGCGGGCACCCGAACUCGUCAGGCCAAAUAGGUGUA